Molecule: ribosomal RNA, 769 nt
Filed under: Lactiplantibacillus plantarum
Lineage: Bacteria; Bacillati; Bacillota; Bacilli; Lactobacillales; Lactobacillaceae
Description: bacterial SSU rRNA
Rfam family: Bacterial small subunit ribosomal RNA
Source: RNAcentral
AGUCGAACGAACUCUGGUAUUGAUUGGUGCUUGCAUCAUGAUUUACAUUUGAGUGAGUGGCGAACUGGUGAGUAACACGUGGGAAACCUGCCCAGAAGCGGGGGAUAACACCUGGAAACAGAUGCUAAUACCGCAUAACAACUUGGACCGCAUGGUCCGAGUUUGAAAGAUGGCUUCGGCUAUCACUUUUGGAUGGUCCCGCGGCGUAUUAGCUAGAUGGUGGGGUAACGGCUCACCAUGGCAAUGAUACGUAGCCGACCUGAGAGGGUAAUCGGCCACAUUGGGACUGAGACACGGCCCAAACUCCUACGGGAGGCAGCAGUAGGGAAUCUUCCACAAUGGACGAAAGUCUGAUGGAGCAACGCCGCGUGAGUGAAGAAGGGUUUCGGCUCGUAAAACUCUGUUGUUAAAGAAGAACAUAUCUGAGAGUAACUGUUCAGGUAUUGACGGUAUUUAACCAGAAAGCCACGGCUAACUACGUGCCAGCAGCCGCGGUAAUACGUAGGUGGCAAGCGUUGUCCGGAUUUAUUGGGCGUAAAGCGAGCGCAGGCGGUUUUUUAAGUCUGAUGUGAAAGCCUUCGGCUCAACCGAAGAAGUGCAUCGGAAACUGGGAAACUUGAGUGCAGAAGAGGACAGUGGAACUCCAUGUGUAGCGGUGAAAUGCGUAGAUAUAUGGAAGAACACCAGUGGCGAAGGCGGCUGUCUGGUCUGUAACUGACGCUGAGGCUCGAAAGUAUGGGUAGCAAAACAGGAUUAGAUACCCUGGUAG